AGAACGAACGCUGGCGGCGUGGAUAAGACGUGCAAGUCGAACGGGAUUUCAUUUGUAGCAAUACACGUGAAGUUCAGUGGCGUAAGGGUGCGUAACACGUGGGCAAUCUGCCGAGAUGUGGGGGAUAGCUCGCCGAAAGGCGAAUUAAUACCGCAUGUGGUUAGUGCUGGAUUCAGCGCGACACCAAAGCCGGGGCAACCUGGCGCAUCUUGACUGAGCCCGCGGCCUAUCAGCUA
RNAcentral lists this ribosomal RNA (236 nucleotides) under uncultured soil bacterium. RNAcentral describes it as "partial 16S ribosomal RNA". It matches the Rfam family "Bacterial small subunit ribosomal RNA", at positions 26 to 247 of the family's 1533-position model. The record is from RNAcentral.